AUGACAGAUUUCCUCAUUGCUUUUGGCUCACAAACUGGGCAAGCGGAAACUAUCGCUAAAAGUUUAAAGGAAAAAGCAGAGUUAAUCGGAUUAACGCCAAGACUUCACGCUCUGGAUGAAAAUGAGAAGAAAUUCAAUUUAAAUGAAGAAAAACUGUGUGCAAUUGUCGUUUCAUCAACUGGCGAUGGAGAUGCACCGGAUAAUUGUGCACGUUUCGUGAGAAGAAUUAAUAGAAAUUCACUGGAAAACGAAUAUUUGAAGAAUCUGGAUUACGUUCUUCUCGGUCUCGGCGAUUCCAACUAUUCAUCUUAUCAAACGAUUCCUCGAAAAAUUGACAAACAACUGACAGCUCUCGGUGCAAAUCGUCUUUUUGAUCGUGCAGAAGCAGACGAUCAAACUUGAACUAGAAGUUGAACCAUGGAUCGAGAAAUUCUUUGCAACACUGGCAUCCAGAUUCGACAUUUCCGCCGACAAAAUGAAUGCAAUUACGGAAUCAUCAAACUUGAAAUUGAAUCAAGUUAAGACUGAAGAAGAAAAGAAAGCGUUACUUCAGAAACGAAUAGAAGAUGAAGAAUCAGAUGAUGAAGGAAGAGGAAGAGUUAUUGGAAUUGAUAUGUUGAUUCCCGAGCAUUAUGAUUAUCCCGAAAUUUCUCUUUUAAAAGGAUCGCAAACCCUCUCGAACGAUGAAAAUUUGCGCGUUCCAAUUGCUCCUCAACCUUUCAUCGUCUCGUCGGUUUCUAAUCGAAAACUACCAGAAGAUACCAAAUUGGAAUGGCAAAACCUGUGCAAAAUGCCUGGAGUCGUCACGAAACCAUUCGAAGUUCUUGUAGUCUCUGCUGAAUUUGUGACUGAUCCAUUUUCCAAGAAAAUUAAAACGAAACGGAUGAUCACUGUCGAUUUCGGAGAUCAUGCUGCUGAACUUCAAUACGAGCCGGGAGAUGCCAUAUAUUUUUGUGUUCCAAAUCCAGCACUUGAAGUCAAUUUUAUCCUUAAAAGAUGCGGAGUUUUAGACAUUGCUGAUCAACAAUGCGAGCUUUCAAUUAACCCGAAAACUGAGAAAAUCAAUGCUCAAAUUCCGGGACACGUGCACAAAAUUACAACUCUCCGUCAUAUGUUCACCACGUGUCUAGACAUUCGUCGGGCUCCAGGAAGACCGCUGAUUCGUGUACUCGCCGAAAGUACAUCUGAUCCAAAUGAGAAAAGACGGCUUUUGGAGCUUUGCAGUGCUCAGGGAAUGAAGGAUUUCACCGAUUUUGUUAGAACACCCGGAUUGUCAUUGGCUGACAUGCUUUUCGCAUUUCCAAAUGUGAAGCCACCGGUUGAUAGACUAAUCGAACUUCUUCCACGGCUUAUCCCACGUCCGUACAGUAUGUCAUCAUAUGAAAACCGAAAAGCCCGUCUGAUCUAUUCGGAAAUGGAAUUCCCAGCAACAGAUGGACGUCGACAUUCGAGAAAAGGACUCGCAACUGAUUGGCUCAAUUCUUUGAGAAUUGGAGAUAAAGUUCAAGUUUUGGGAAAGGAACCGGCUAGAUUCAGACUUCCACCUCUUGGAAUGACAAAGAAUUCGGCUGGAAAACUGCCAUUAUUGAUGGUUGGACCAGGAACUGGAGUCUCGGUAUUUCUGUCAUUCCUGCAUUUUUUGAGAAAAUUGAAACAAGACUCUCCAUCGGACUUUGUCGAUGUUCCACGUGUUCUCUUCUUUGGAUGUCGUGAUUCUUCUGUAGAUGCAAUUUAUAUGAGCGAACUUGAAAUGUUUGUAAGCGAAGGCAUCCUCACUGAUCUAAUCAUCUGUGAAAGCGAGCAAAAGGGUGAAAGAGUUCAAGAUGGCUUAAGAAAAUAUCUCGACAAGGUUCUUCCAUUUUUGACAGCAUCGACAGAGUCGAAAAUUUUCAUCUGUGGAGACGCAAAAGGAAUGUCUAAAGAUGUUUGGCAAUGUUUCUCGGAUAUUGUUGCCAGUGAUCAAGGAAUUCCGGACUUGGAAGCGAAGAAGAAGCUUAUGGAUCUGAAAAAGAGUGAUCAAUACAUCGAGGAUGUGUGGGGAUAG
This 2044-nucleotide unclassified non-coding RNA is filed under the name Caenorhabditis elegans. Its description in RNAcentral is "Non-coding transcript of protein-coding gene mtrr-1". The record is from RNAcentral. Lineage: Eukaryota; Metazoa; Nematoda; Chromadorea; Rhabditida; Rhabditidae.